Molecule: transfer RNA, 73 nt
Filed under: Cryptocephalus pusillus
Lineage: Eukaryota; Metazoa; Arthropoda; Insecta; Coleoptera; Chrysomelidae
Description: tRNA-Lys
Source: RNAcentral
CAUUAGGUGGCUGAAAGUUUUAGGCAAUGAAAUUUUAAAUCAUACUAUAGUAGCUAACAAUUACUUCUAAUGA